RNAcentral lists this transfer RNA (73 nucleotides) under Paramuricea clavata. It matches the Rfam family "tRNA". From Rfam's summary of the family: Transfer RNA (tRNA) molecules are approximately 80 nucleotides in length. Their secondary structure includes four short double-helical elements and three loops (D, anti-codon, and T loops). Further hydrogen bonds mediate the characteristic L-shaped molecular structure. tRNAs have two regions of fundamental functional importance: the anti-codon, which is responsible for specific mRNA codon recognition, and the 3' end, to which the tRNAs corresponding amino acid is attached (by aminoacyl-tRNA synthetases). tRNAs cope with the degeneracy of the genetic code in two manners: having more than one tRNA (with a specific anti-codon) for a particular amino acid; and 'wobble' base-pairing, i.e. permitting non-standard base-pairing at the 3rd anti-codon position. Lineage: Eukaryota; Metazoa; Cnidaria; Anthozoa; Malacalcyonacea; Plexauridae. The record is from Rfam by way of RNAcentral.
GCCGAAAUAGGUCAAAUGGGAGAGCGCCAGACUGAAGAUCUGAAAGUCCCUGGUUCAAUCCCGGGUUUCGGCA